Molecule: ribosomal RNA, 427 nt
Filed under: uncultured bacterium
Lineage: Bacteria
Description: partial 16S ribosomal RNA
Rfam family: Bacterial small subunit ribosomal RNA
Source: RNAcentral
UGGGGAAUAUUGGACAAUGGGCGAAAGCCUGAUCCAGCCAUGUCGCGUGUGUGAACAAGGUCUUCGGAUUGUAAAGCCCUUUAAGUUGGGAGGAAGGGCAUUAACCUAAUACGUUAGUGUUUUGACGUUACCGACAGAAUAAGCACCGGCUAACUCUGUGCCAGCAGCCGCGGUAAUACAGAGGGUGCAAGCGUUAAUCGGAAUUACUGGGCGUAAAGCGCGCGUAGGUGGUUUGUUAAGUUGGAUGUGAAAUCCCCGGGCUCAACCUGGGAACUGCAUUCAAAACUGACUGACUAGAGUAUGGUAGAGGGUGGUGGAAUUUCCUGUGUAGCGGUGAAAUGCGUAGAUAUAGGAAGGAACACCAGUGGCGAAGGCGACCACCUGGACUAAUACUGACACUGAGGUGCGAAAGCGUGGGGAGCAAACA